RNAcentral lists this ribosomal RNA (492 nucleotides) under uncultured bacterium. Its description in RNAcentral is "partial 16S ribosomal RNA". It matches the Rfam family "Bacterial small subunit ribosomal RNA", at positions 29 to 507 of the family's 1533-position model. The record is from RNAcentral.
AGUGAACGCUGGCGGUAGGCCUAACACAUGCAAGUCGGACGGCAGCACAGUAAGAGCUUGCUCUUACGGGUGGCGAGUGGCGGACGGGUGAGGAAUACAUCGGAAUCUACUUUUUCGUGGGGGAUAACGUAGGGAAACUUACGCUAAUACCGCAUACGACCUACGGGUGAAAGUAGGGGAUCUUCGGACCUUGCGCGAUUGAAUGAGCCGAUGUCGGAUUAGCUAGUUGGCGGGGUAAAGGCCCACCAAGGCGACGAUCCGUAGCUGGUCUGAGAGGAUGAUCAGCCACACUGGAACUGAGACACGGUCCAGACUCCUACGGGAGGCAGCAGUGGGGAAUAUUGGACAAUGGGCGCAAGCCUGAUCCAGCCAUACCGCGUGGGUGAAGAAGGCCUUCGGGUUGUAAAGCCCUUUUGUUGGGAAAGAAAAGCAGCAGGUUAAUACCCCGCUGUUCUGACGGUACCCAAAGAAUAAGCACCGGCUAACUUCGUG